AUGAGUGUGAUGAUCCAGCUGCAGAGAAGAGCCCCGUGUCUGGAGAAGUGGUCCACGCAGUCGACGAUGAGACCGUCCUGGUGGACUGCAGCCGGUCUGGUCACCCUCGGAUUAAUAAGACGUACACCUUUGAAAGGUAAGCUUCUUCGGGAUGACGGGGCAGCCACGUCACGCAGAGGUCAGCUCUGCCUCGCGGUUCGAUGGCGAAAAGGUACAGCUUGCCCCGUUGGUCUAAGUGCGAAGGAAAGGCCCUUAGUUCCGUGGAUGGAGCACUGUCUUUCCGCAAGUGUUGCUGGACGGCUGGCCGUCCACAGGCCACAGAGAAACGCGUCUUCACCCACGCAGCACACGCCUGUGGAAACGUUGCCUGAGAUGGAAACUAGGCCCAGAGAGGAUGCCUAAAACUGAAACCUUUGGAAGACAAUGUAGGAGGGAGGCUUUUGGCCUUGGGUUAAGGGAGGAAUUCUUAGAAACGCCACCUAAAGCAUGAUCCUUCAAAGAACUGAAAUUCAAACCUUCUGUCUGUGACGCGCUGUUGGAAGGAUGAGAGACAAGCCGAGCACGGGAGACAGUAUCCGGAAAUCGCAGCGUCUGUCCGUGAGGCCCACCUCCAGGAUGUACGGAGGAGCCUCGAAAACAAGGAACAGACAACCGGGAGCGAGCGGAAAGACGUCGGAGGACGUGACCUCAAGGAACGAGCGCGGCCGUGGUCGCUGGGGAAAUGCCGCCGGAGCGGCCCCCGCGGCCCGUGCACCAUGCUGACCUGUGACCCGGGGCCCCCAGGCCUUUCCCCAAGACGGUUCCCCAGAGGACUGCAGGAGGUGUUUACAGCCGCUUCCCUCAUAGCUGACAAAAACGGGGGACGACCUGACUGUCCUGCUGCUGCUGGGAGGUGAAGCCUGGGGGUCCUGCGGGGAGCUCAGCCCGCAGCCGUGCAGACGGCCGCCCCAGCCAAGGAAGCCGGGGCCAGAGGCUCGUUGCCUUCCUUCCUCCGAGGACAUUCCCGAAGAGACCAGACUCUGGCGGCUUCGAGGGGUGAGGUGGGGGGUUAGAGAGCUCCUCUCCCUGCGGGCGGCAUCGGCAUCGCUGUGCGUCUGUCACCCGUGCGGAGCUGGGCACCUGGGAGCAGACGGCCCCGUAAACACGCAGGUCUCAAAACACCCCCAAUUUCCCCAAAGAGGCUUAAAGAGGCCUCUCAUCAGCUCUGAUGUGUGUGUCCUGAUUCCGCCAGAUAAACCGGCAAACCAUUUUGAAAAAGAAUGCUGGGGAGUUCCCUGGCGGCGCAGUGCUUUAAGGGUCUGGCAUCGUCACUGUGGUGGCUCGAGCUGCUGCCGUGGCGCGGGUUUGAUCUGUGGCCCAGGAUCUUUCAGGUGUCGCCUGUGCAGCCAACAAAAAGAAAGAAGAGAGAGAGUAGCUUUUACAUUGUAAAUCCACUGUCCUUUAAUUUAAAAAGGAACGCUGGGGGGACCGUAUUGUCAGUCAGGGCAGAUUUCAGAGGGUCGUUUCCUAGUAAGACGGCGUCAGGACUAAGAGAAUCGCGGCCCUGAAGGCAACCGCUUCAGAAUAAAGGAGCAAAGGCUGAGAGAACCGGGGAGAAG
RNAcentral lists this long non-coding RNA (1598 nucleotides) under Sus scrofa (pig). RNAcentral describes it as "lncRNA (ENSSSCG00060026029.1)". Lineage: Eukaryota; Metazoa; Chordata; Mammalia; Artiodactyla; Suidae. The record is from RNAcentral.